RNAcentral lists this ribosomal RNA (474 nucleotides) under Thalassoma hardwicke. RNAcentral describes it as "partial small subunit ribosomal RNA". It matches the Rfam family "Bacterial small subunit ribosomal RNA", at positions 788 to 1491 of the family's 1533-position model. The record is from RNAcentral. Lineage: Eukaryota; Metazoa; Chordata; Actinopteri; Labriformes; Labridae.
CACUAUGCCUAGCCCUAAACAUUGAUAAUACCCUACCCGAUUUAUCCGCCCGGGGACUACGAGCGUCAGCUUGAAACCCAAAGGACUUGGCGGUGCUUUAGAUCCACCUAGAGGAGCCUGUUCUAGAACCGAUAAUCCCCGUUCAACCUCACCUUUUCUUGCUAAUUCCGCCUAUAUACCACCGUCGUCAGCUUACUCUUUGAGGAACUAGCCGUAAGCGCAACUGGUACAGCCUAAAACGCCAGGUCGAGGUGUAGCGAAUGGAAAGGGAAGAAAUGGGCUACAUUCAAUAACAAUAAUGCAUACGAACGAUGUUCUGAAAUAAACAUCUGAAGGAGGAUUUAGUAGUAAGUAGAGAGCAGAGUGCUCUACUGAAGCCGGCCCUGAAGCGCGUACACACCGCCCGUCACUCUCCCCGAGCUAACUAUACACAUUUUUAAUAAGCUAAACUUGCAAAGGGGAGGCAAGUCGUAA